Molecule: ribosomal RNA, 87 nt
Filed under: Amphidinium massartii
Lineage: Eukaryota; Dinophyceae; Amphidiniales; Amphidiniaceae
Description: partial Bacterial large subunit ribosomal RNA
Source: RNAcentral
GGAGAUGUUUAUGUGGGAAGGAGAGUUCACCAUUAGAAAGGAUUCGUGAGUUGGGUUAAUAGCGUCCUCCGGCAGUUUGUUUCCUAU